Molecule: ribosomal RNA, 305 nt
Filed under: uncultured bacterium
Lineage: Bacteria
Description: bacterial SSU rRNA
Rfam family: Bacterial small subunit ribosomal RNA
Source: RNAcentral
AACGAACGCUGGCGGUAUGCUUAACACAUGCAAGUCGAACGCGAAAGGCUCUUCGGAGCCAAGUAGAGUGGCGCACAGGUGAGUAACACGUAGAUAAUCUGCCCUGAAGUUCGGGACAACCUUUCGAAAGGAGGGCUAAUACCGGAUAAUACCUGAGACCUUAUGGUUUUGGGUUAAAAGAUUUUUCGCUUUGGGAUGAGUCUGCGUAACAUUGGCUAGUUGGUGGGGUAAGAGCUCACCAAGGCGACGAUGUUUAGCGGGUCUGAGAGGAUGAUCCGCCACACUGGAACUGAGACACGGUCCAG